UAUUGCACAAUGGGGGAAACCCUGAUGCAGCGACGCCGCGUGAGUGAAGAAGAAUUUUGGGAUGUAAAGCUCUAUCAGCAGGGAAGAAAAUGACGGUACCUGAUUAAGAAGCCCCGGCUAACUACGUGCCAGCAGCCGCGGUAAUACGUAGGGGGCAAGCGUUAUCCGGAUUUACUGGGUGUAAAGGGAGCGUAGACGGCAGCAUAAGUCUGGAGUGAAAUGCCGGGGCUUAACCCCGGAAAUGCUUUGGAAACUGUGCAGCUAGAGUGCAGGAGAGGCAAGCGGAAUUCCUAGUGUAGCGGUGAAAUGCGUAGAUAUUAGGAGGAACACCAGUGGCGAAGGCGGCUUACUGGACUGUAACUGACGUUGAGGCUCGAAAGCGUGGGGAGCAAACAGG
Molecule: ribosomal RNA, 397 nt
Filed under: uncultured bacterium
Lineage: Bacteria
Description: bacterial SSU rRNA
Rfam family: Bacterial small subunit ribosomal RNA
Source: RNAcentral